AACGAACGCUGGCGGCGCGCCUAAUACAUGCAAGUCGAACGAGAAGGUGUAGCAAUACACUUGUACAGUGGCGAACGGGUGAGGAAUGCAUGGGCAACCUACCCUCGAGUGGGGAACAACCAGCCGAAAGGUUGGCUAAUACCGCGUACGCUUCCGGGUCUCCGGAUCCGGAAGGAAAGUCACACCGUGGGUGUGACGCUCAAGGAUGGGCUCAUGUCCUAUCAGCUUGNGGUGAGGUAACGGCUCACCAAGGCAACGACGGGUAGCUGGUCUGAGAGGACGAUCAGCCACACUGGCACUGCGACACGGGCCAGACUCCUACGGGAGGCAGCAGUAAGGAAUAUUGCGCAAUGGGCGAAAGCCUGACGCAGCGACGCCGCGUGGGGGAUGAAGGUCUUCGGAUUGUAAACCCCUUUUAGGAGGGAAAGUGGGACGAGCAAUCGUCCGGAUGGUACCUCCAGAAAAGCCACGGCUAACUUCGUGCCAGCAGCCGCAGUAAG
RNAcentral lists this ribosomal RNA (500 nucleotides) under uncultured bacterium. RNAcentral's name for it is "bacterial SSU rRNA". It matches the Rfam family "Bacterial small subunit ribosomal RNA", at positions 29 to 524 of the family's 1533-position model. The record is from RNAcentral.